This 83-nucleotide transfer RNA is filed under the name Candidatus Desantisbacteria bacterium CG1_02_49_89. RNAcentral's name for it is "tRNA-Leu". It matches the Rfam family "tRNA". From Rfam's summary of the family: Transfer RNA (tRNA) molecules are approximately 80 nucleotides in length. Their secondary structure includes four short double-helical elements and three loops (D, anti-codon, and T loops). The record is from RNAcentral. RNAcentral also lists the same sequence under 1 other name. Lineage: Bacteria; Candidatus Desantisiibacteriota.
GGGCGAGUGGCGGAACGGUAUACGCGACGGACUUAAAAUCCGUCGGUCGCAAGGCCUUGAGGGUUCAAAUCCCUCCUCGCCCA